This is a non-coding RNA of Styela clava, 826 nucleotides long. The record is from RefSeq and is a predicted model, not a curated record. Lineage: Eukaryota; Metazoa; Chordata; Ascidiacea; Stolidobranchia; Styelidae.
GGUACCUGUGUUGUACCUACCGUACUACGCCCGAACAAAAUUAUUUACAACGUGGAAUUGGGCUAUACUAUAAUAAAUCUAGUAAGAUAUUUAGAUCUACCAGUGCCCAAAAGAUUCCUUUUAGUUAUAUUUUGUGUAUGAGCAGAACUGAGAUUUACCUACGAUAUCCAUGUAUCACUACUGCACACUGUGCCCCGGUGUAUGUAUCUUGUCAUCGGCUGAUUCACAUGUCUGCAAGGUCCCGAAGUUGGAUCAAAAAAAUAGGCAAGGAGCGAAUAGAUAGCAGAAGCUGUUUCAAAUCAAGUAAACUGUCUGAGUGCCAUGAUGAUGAUCAUUUUCAUCAGCUCCAUUGGAAGAGCAAAUUUGUCAUGAAGACAAACAACUGUUAUGGAUAGGAUUAUAGUAAAAGUGUUGUCAAGUCAAGGUUGCAGCAGUGCUUUAUUCUACGCCUUCGUGUCCAACAAAUAUGUGGAACCCGGUUAACUUAAGCUUAACAAACAAAUAAUUCUUGCAUGCUAAAACAUUUGAAGGAAACGUAGUUAUGUCAAUUUUUCGUCACUUGGCGAGUCUUCCGCAGAAGAAAUAAAUAAACUUUAAAUAGCAACGAAAGCAACAACUAUGAUUGCACCUGUGUCUGUGUGCAUUAUGUUGACACAUUCCUGUCUCAAAGCUGUAGAGCCAGGAUAAAAUUUAGCACCUCUUCCGAAUUGAUUCUAUACUUUUUCCAUUUCUUGAAUGUCAGUACAUUUUAGCAGUCAUUUGAACAAAUGAAUAUUAGUUAUUUUUGCAAUACAAAUUUUCAAAAAAAUAAAAUGUUAAAUAUGUA